CAUAGCGACUAUCGUGGCAUAUCAAUAAGCGGAGGAAAAGAAACUAACAAGGAUUCCCUAGUAACGGCGAGUGAAGCGGGAAGAGCUCAAAUUUGAAAUCUUAAAGGGUUUCCCUUGACGAAUUGUAGUUUAUAGAAGUGUUUUCUGUUAGUGGAGUUCGGUAAAAGUUCUUUGGAAUAGGACAUCAUAGAGGGUGAGAAUCCCGUAUUUGACCGUUACUUUCCUAGCUGUGUGAUACACUUUCAAAGAGUCGGAUUGUUUGAGAAUGCAGUCCAAAAUGGGUGGUAAAUUUCAUCUAAAGCUAAAUAUUGGCGAGAGACCGAUAGCGAACAAGUACCGUGAGGGAAAGAUGAAAAGAACUUUGAAAAGAGAGUUAAACAGUACGUGAAAUUGUCAAAAGGGAAGCGUUUGACACCAGUGUUGUUUUUCCGAAAAUCAAUUACGAAUGUUUUAUUUUUGAGGAGUUAUGACUUCAUCGGCUUGCUCCUUUCUUUAUGAAACUUUCUUAAUGCACUUUUCGGUUAACAAGUCAACAUCAAUUUCUUUUGUUGUAAAAGGGUAUGAGGAAGGUGGCUUUCUUUUCGGAGAAAGUGUUUAUAGCCUUGUGCCUCUGCAAUCGGAGAGAUUGAGGUCUGCAGCGUAGAUCCUUCGGGGUUAGAUACAGUUUGUGCUAAGUUAUAGCUUUUCAUAGACAACUUGUUGACUAUGUUUAGUCUUGUAGCUUACUCGCUGAUGCUAUUUUACCUACGCUUAGGAUGUUGAUAUGCAUGACUGAUAU
RNAcentral lists this ribosomal RNA (778 nucleotides) under uncultured Neocallimastigales. RNAcentral's name for it is "partial large subunit ribosomal RNA". It matches the Rfam family "Eukaryotic large subunit ribosomal RNA", at positions 22 to 643 of the family's 3401-position model. The record is from RNAcentral. Lineage: Eukaryota; Fungi; Neocallimastigomycota; Neocallimastigomycetes; Neocallimastigales.